UUUCUUCUCCAUUGAUCAAAUUUCUCCUUUUUUUUUUAAUGCCAUAAAUAAAUAACAUCUUUGAUUUCUUCUCCAUUGAUCAAAUUUCUGGUUCAAUCGCAUGAAACUCAGAUGCAGAUCGAUCUUCGCUGCGAAUCGCUUCUCAGCUUCCCCGCCUCCGAUUCUAACCUGGCACUAGGGUUUCAGUCACUGUUACAUUGCUGAAACAUUUAUUUUAACUGGUCAAUUAUUAGGGUUCUGUCCUAAAUAAACAUUUGACUCUGCACAUUUAAGCUGCAUCUUGAAUCCUAUGGCUAUUUUAAUCACUGCUGUCUCAGUUAUUUUGGUUUUGUUCUUUGAAGGAGAUUGAAUGUGGUACCUAUUUUUUGCCAUGUUAGCACCAAAUUAUGUUUUCCGUCCCGGUAAACCCGCUUUUCGUCAAUGUCCGUCAAAAAUUGGAAAAAUUUUGGGGAUUGAUUACUGUUAACCUAGUUAAAGGUUAGUUGAAUACUUGAAUUAAUCUUUUAUAGUAUGCUAGCUAUAGUUUGCCGUGUGUGAAUUGUUCUUAUUCAUUGUGUUUAUAAUUACAUUGAGAUUUUGGAGGAGUCGAAGUCGAAAACGCAGUGAUGAUUUGGGAAAAAUUUAUUAUUGUAGAUCGUAGAGUAUGGCUUUUUGCAUAAAAGGAUCUUCCGAGCUCGUUAUGCUUGCUUUAUUAUAUCACGGUUUUGCUUGCUUUAUCUGUUAGCAGUUGCAGUGAUUGUAAAGAUGUCCAACAACAUUUGUGCUUUUAUUUGUAAUUUAAAUUUCGGUAUCAAAUGCUAGUUAAUGUGUUGACUAGUAAAGUUCGUAACCAAAACACUCUAUGUAAUCGAUCUUGGACGCAUUAUAUCAACAUUGCGACGUUUUAAUUUGUUUUUGUUUUGCUUGAAAAGAUUAGCUUGCGAUGUUUCUUUCCCUAAUCAGGGUUACUUUUUCUUGCUAGGAGAUAUCUAUUUCUUUAGAGGCUGAAGCCGAGUUAUCUAUCACUACUCGGUCCAUAUUUAAGUAUAAUGUGUUGCUACUUUCGGUAAAUGCAGCGGACCAAUUUGUAAUGGCCUCCCUGUCCUUGAUGAUCAUUCUCUGCUCACUACAAUGAAGUUUUGUCUUUUCUUCUUUUGUUAGGAUGCCGCGCGGAUUAUCAAACUUCGAACACAAAAUUGUCCUGAUUCGAUCAAAUUUCAGUAUCAUGGCGCCCUCAAGAAGCACACUGAAGGACCAAAGCAGCGAAAAGAAUGAGCAGACUUCUAUCAGGCCACAAAUGGAUCCAAUCGCUAAGAGGGUGAGCAUAGUGCUUCAGGAAAGAUCUUGCCUUUCCGUCCUUUGUGCCCGUCUCGUAUCUAACUGGUCUGCGGAUGUCAUCUGACGCAAAUUGUCCCUUAGCCUCUUUCGAUAGUGCAAAGAAGUCGGAAGCAGCUUCAAGAGCACCUUUCAUGACUGAUUGGCUAAUUCCAUGGUUUACUACCUGCAUAACAAAGCUAAAUUUGAAUUCCGUGUUAUUCUCCACAUGUUUAUAAAUGUUGGUUGUUUAUCGUUUUAUUUAUCUCCAAGUAGCUACUGAACUUCUUAUUAACUAGCACACUGGCAAUUAACUUUUAGAAAGUUGGCAAAAGCCUUUAUACAGUCGGAGAUUCUCCCUUAUCAUUUCUUGCUAUUUGUGUCUUUGUCAGAUCGUGCUGUUAUACUCUUUACAGUGAAUAAUUGCAUAUGUUUAUGUACAAUGAACAACCAUUUACGCCAACCAAUUUCUACUGUAGGAACAUCUCAAGCUGAUGAUGUUUAAUUUGUUUACAGCAUGUAGACACCUGGGUGGUAUGUAAUUGACAGUUGCAUUCUACAAGUACUGUUCUAAUCUUAAGCAAGUGUUUCUGUACAAUGAAAACUACAUAAACCGAUGGAGUUUGAAACUAGAAACAACUCAAGCUGAUGCUGUUUAAUUUACAGAACAUAUAUAAAAUCUUGGUGGUAGCUAGCUAGUCGACGGAUGUGCAUGUUGGUACUGUUGGCGUCUUUUGCGAUCUUCUCUCAACAAGUUUGCCGCAUAAAAUACCAUGUGGUGAUGGGCUAAUCGUAACCAUGUGGUUACGUACAAUGAGACCCAUUUACACUGACAAAGUUCUGCGCUGGAAAUAUCUCAAGCUAUGCUGUAUUGUUGAGAGAUCUAGACAUCUUUGUUGUAACUGCUCGGCAGAUUUGCAUGUUGAUGGUGUUGGUGUCCUUUGGAGCCUCUUCUCAACAAGUUUACCACAUAAAAUAUCAUGUGGUGAUGUGCUAAUUAAUCUGAACAUCUUGGCGGCAGGCGAUCGACGGAUGUUCGUGUUGGCGGUGUUGAGUGAAAACCAUUUCAACAGCAAAGUUCCAGUGGAAACAUGCUGCUUCAUCUACAGAACCUAAACAUAUUGGCGAAGGCUGUCGACAGUUGUGCAUGUUUGGUGCAUUCCGUAGUCUCCUCUCUACAACCUUACCACAUAAAAUAUAGAACGAACCCAAACAUCUCGGUGAUACACAAUCGAUGGAUGCAUGCGCACGAUGGUGUUGACGCCUUUCGCCGAAAGUGUUGAAAGUGUGUACUGAAAAACACGCUUGCCGACUGUUUCAUCAACAUGAACGUAGAGAAAGUUUCAUUCGUUUGCGGCAUGUAGCAGACAGCUAAGAUAUGCUAAACUGUCAACGUGAAGGGAAGGAAGAAAAGAAGCAUACAUUACCUGGAAAUACCCGUGUUUCCGGCACGCCUUAGCGAUGUCUUUGAGCAUGAGAGAUCGUUGCGCGGAACUCUGGUUAAGCCUGCAGAGGUCGACGACCGGUAUCUGCAUCGGCUUAGCUUUAGCUCCAACCGGAAUUGGAGAAGGGAUGCUCUGCGGCAGCGCGCUCAAGGUUGCUGCUAGUGCUUCUGCUUCUGCUUCUGAGCACUGCUAUGUUCUACAGGAGAGUGCAAUAUAUGAGGCUUAUGGACAAUGCUCAGAUGGGGUGUGGGAUAUUUAUAGGCUUCGUGUGGCAGCUACUGAGCACUGCUAUAUUCUAUGCAUAGUAAAUGUAGCCACUAGCUUAGCUUGUGGAGGGGAAAUGCUUUGCAUGUGAACCUCAAAGAAGCUGUGGGGAGAAGCUGUUGCUUUUGGGUCCAGGAGCAGAUCCCAGGAGCCACUCUACCUUCCAAAUAAGCUAUUUUCUUGUGUCCUUUUUCUAGUUUAACUACUAUUCUAUAUAGUAAGGAUAAGAUGUUUCUUUUUCUUUUUAAUUAUUUUGAGGAAGAUAGUGUUACUAUGCUUUCCACUUUGUGCUUCUUUUUCUAGAAAUAAAUUCAAAUAAAAAUAUAAAGCAAUUAAAUUUCAAA
Long non-coding RNA from Ananas comosus (pineapple), 3346 nucleotides. RefSeq lists it as uncharacterized. Lineage: Eukaryota; Viridiplantae; Streptophyta; Magnoliopsida; Poales; Bromeliaceae. The record is from RefSeq and is a predicted model, not a curated record. The transcript is spliced from 6 exons.